CUAACACAUGCAAGUCGAACGGACAGAUGCUUCUAGCUAUUUAUAGCUAGAAGCAUCUGUUAGUGGCAGACGGGUGAGUAAUGCGUAGGAAUCUACCUAGUAGUACGGAAUAGCUAUUAGAAAUGAUAGGUAAUACUGUAUAAUCCCUGCGGGGGAAAGAUUUUAUUGCUAUUAGAUGAGCCUACGUUAGAUUAGCUAGUUGGUAAGGUAAUGGCUUACCAAGGCUAUGAUCUAUAGCUGGUCUGAGAGGACGAUCAGCCACACUGGAACUGAGAUACGGUCCAGACUCCUACGGGAGGCAGCAGUGGGGAAUAUUGGACAAUGGGCGAAAGCCUGAUCCAGCUAUGCCGCGUGAGUGAAGAAGGCCUUCGGGUUGUAAAGCUCUUUCAAUAGGGAAGAUAAUGACGGUACCUAUAGAAGAAGUCCCGGCAAACUCCGUGCCAGCAGCCGCGGUAAUACGGAGGGGGCAAGCGUUGUUCGGAAUUAUUGGGCGUAAAGGGCACGUAGGUGGACUAGUAAGUUAAAAGUGAAAUACCAGAGCUUAACUUUGGAGCUGCUUUUAAUACUGCUAGACUAGAGGUCGAAAGAGGAUAGCGGAAUUCCUAGUGUAGAGGUGAAAUUCGUAGAUAUUAGGAGGAACACCAGUGGCGAAG
RNAcentral lists this ribosomal RNA (653 nucleotides) under Candidatus Ehrlichia khabarensis. RNAcentral's name for it is "bacterial SSU rRNA". It matches the Rfam family "Bacterial small subunit ribosomal RNA", at positions 48 to 720 of the family's 1533-position model. Lineage: Bacteria; Pseudomonadati; Pseudomonadota; Alphaproteobacteria; Rickettsiales; Anaplasmataceae. The record is from RNAcentral.